AUCUUUAUAUCUUUUGAUCUGCUUCAUGCUGUCCCUAUAGAAGAUUAGUCCGAAUUUGAUUUCUGAUACAAUUAAUGUUAAAAGGUAAGAAAGAGUGUUCGAUGUGUAUGCACUUGGAAAACUAUUCAAUAUGACGUUGUUUGUAAGGACACUUAUGUAAUUAGAUAAACACACAAACGUGACUACUGUAAAUUCAGAGAUUAUUGCGAGGUUUUUCUUAUUGCGAAUAAUGCGACUGGAUGGGUAUCGCAAUAAUAAGAACUUGCAUUCUGAUAACUGAAACAUAGUUCUGAACGCAGUGUUUUUCGAAAUCACAAUAAUUCUCAUUUUUAUCCUGAUGAUUCUUGAAAAAUCGCAAUAAUAAAUGCACGCAAUAAUUUCUGAAUUUAUGUGUGUGUAUG
Molecule: long non-coding RNA, 401 nt
Filed under: Mytilus galloprovincialis (Mediterranean mussel)
Lineage: Eukaryota; Metazoa; Mollusca; Bivalvia; Mytilida; Mytilidae
Source: RNAcentral